Molecule: ribosomal RNA, 484 nt
Filed under: uncultured bacterium
Lineage: Bacteria
Description: partial 16S ribosomal RNA
Rfam family: Bacterial small subunit ribosomal RNA
Source: RNAcentral
AUUGAACGCUGGCGGCAGGCCUAACACAUGCAAGUCGAGCGGAUGAAGGGAGCUUGCUCCUGGAUUCAGCGGCGGACGGGUGAGUAAUGCCUAGGAAUCUGCCUGGUAGUGGGGGAUAACGUCCGGAAACGGGCGCUAAUACUGCAUACGUCCUGAGGCAGCAGGUGGGGGAUCUUCGGACCUCACGCUAUCAGAUGAGCCUAGGUCGGAUUAGCUAGUUGGUGGGGUAAAGGCCUACCAAGGCGACGAUCCGCAACUGGUCUGAGAGGAUGAUCAGUCACACUGGAACUGAGACACGGUCCAGACUCCUACGGGAGGCAGCAGUGGGGAAUAUUGGACAGUGGGCGAAAGCCUGAUCCAGCCAUGCCGCGUGUGUGAAGAAGGUCUUCGGAUUGUAAAGCAGGUUAAGUGGGGAGGAAGGGCAGUAAGUUAAUACCUUGCUGUUUUGACGUUAACAACAGAAUAAGCACCGGCUAACUUCGUG